This 1345-nucleotide ribosomal RNA is filed under the name Amphibacillus sp. 15R3. RNAcentral describes it as "16S ribosomal RNA". It matches the Rfam family "Bacterial small subunit ribosomal RNA", at positions 96 to 1423 of the family's 1533-position model. RNAcentral also lists the same sequence under 1 other name. The record is from RNAcentral. Lineage: Bacteria; Bacillati; Bacillota; Bacilli; Caryophanales; Bacillaceae.
CGGCGGACGGGUGAGUAACACGUGGGCAACCUGCCUGUAAGACUGGGAUAACUCGCGGAAACGCGAGCUAAUACCGGAUAAUACCAACGACCACCUGGUCGAGGGUUGAAAGGUGGCUCUUAUGAGCGAUCACUUACAGAUGGGCCCGCGGCGCAUUAGCUAGUUGGUGAGGUAACGGCUCACCAAGGCAACGAUGCGUAGCCGACCUGAGAGGGUGAUCGGCCACACUGGGACUGAGACACGGCCCAGACUCCUACGGGAGGCAGCAGUAGGGAAUCUUCCGCAAUGGACGAAAGUCUGACGGAGCAACGCCGCGUGAACGAAGAAGGUUUUCGGAUCGUAAAGUUCUGUUGUUAGGGAAGAACAAGUACCGUUCGAAUAGGGCGGUACCUUGACGGUACCUAACGAGGAAGCCCCGGCUAACUACGUGCCAGCAGCCGCGGUAAUACGUAGGGGGCAAGCGUUGUCCGGAAUUAUUGGGCGUAAAGCGCGCGCAGGCGGUUUUUUAAGUCUGAUGUGAAAUCUUGCGGCUCAACCGCAAGCGGUCAUUGGAAACUGGAGAACUUGAGGACAGAAGAGGAGAGUGGAAUUCCACGUGUAGCGGUGAAAUGCGUAGAUAUGUGGAGGAACACCAGUGGCGAAGGCGACUCUCUGGUCUGUAACUGACGCUGAGGCGCGAAAGCGUGGGGAGCGAACAGGAUUAGAUACCCUGGUAGUCCACGCCGUAAACGAUGAGUGCUAGGUGUUAGGGGGUUUCCGCCCCUUAGUGCUGCAGUUAACGCAUUAAGCACUCCGCCUGGGGAGUACGGCCGCAAGGCUGAAACUCAAAAGAAUUGACGGGGACCCGCACAAGCGGUGGAGCAUGUGGUUUAAUUCGAAGCAACGCGAAGAACCUUACCAGGUCUUGACAUCCUCUGACAACUCUAGAGAUAGAGCGUUCCCUUCGGGGACAGAGUGACAGGUGGUGCAUGGUUGUCGUCAGCUCGUGUCGUGAGAUGUUGGGUUAAGUCCCGCAACGAGCGCAACCCUUAAUCUUAGUUGCCAGCAUUUAGUUGGGCACUCUAAGGUGACUGCCGGUGAUAAACCGGAGGAAGGUGGGGAUGACGUCAAAUCAUCAUGCCCCUUAUGACCUGGGCUACACACGUGCUACAAUGGAUGGUACAAAGGGCAGCAAAACCGCGAGGUCAAGCAAAUCCCAUAAAACCAUUCUCAGUUCGGAUUGCAGGCUGCAACUCGCCUGCAUGAAGCCGGAAUCGCUAGUAAUCGUGGAUCAGCAUGCCACGGUGAAUACGUUCCCGGGUCUUGUACACACCGCCCGUCACACCACGAGAGUUGGCAACACCCG